Molecule: small nucleolar RNA, 186 nt
Filed under: Kazachstania africana CBS 2517
Lineage: Eukaryota; Fungi; Ascomycota; Saccharomycetes; Saccharomycetales; Saccharomycetaceae
Source: RNAcentral
AUGGGACUUUAUCUCCAUAUCUAUGACGCUAACUAGAUAGCUAUGGUAAACGAAUCCCAUAUAUUGAACUUGCAUGUUACUAUGUGAGGUUGUUUGCACUUUUCGGAGUACAGGUGGCUUUGUGUAGGAACAGAGUGGACUGAAUUCAUUUUUAAAUUCUUUCCAUUUUGAAGGCAUGCAACAUCU